This is a non-coding RNA of Parastagonospora nodorum SN15, 76 nucleotides long. The record is from the annotation of a RefSeq genome assembly. Lineage: Eukaryota; Fungi; Ascomycota; Dothideomycetes; Pleosporales; Phaeosphaeriaceae.
GGCUCAGUGGUCUAGUGGUAUGAUGUAUGUAUCCACUCUAUGUGACAGGCCCCGGGUUCGAAUCCCGGCUGAGCCC